ACAUGGGCGUGAUUGACAGGCUAAUGACUUUUCUCGAUUCCAUGGAUGGUGGUGCAUGGUCGCACUUAGUUGGUGCAGUGAUUUGUCAGGUUUAUUCCGGUAACGAACGAGACCUCGGCCUUGUAAAUAGCUAUGCUGCUUACAGGGACAUUGGCGGCUACGCCAAGGAAGCUCGAGGCAAUUGCAGAUCUGGGAUGCCCUUAGAUGUCCUGGGUCGCACGCGUGCUACAAUGACGCCACGAACGAGCUUGCGUGAUGAAAGUUACGCAUAAUCAGCAGUCGGCGUCUUAAGGGAUAGUCUCUUGUAACUGUGGGACUCCAACUAGGAAUGUCUCGUAAGCACAAGUCAACAUCUUGUGUUGAUUACGUCCCUGCUCUUUGUACACACCGCCCGUCGCUCCUACCGAUCGAGUGUUUUGUGAAUUUGAUGGACGUAAGGAAGUCAAAUAACCGAGCACUAGAGAAGAGAGCUCAGGAGCUGUAUCGAUAUUCUGGGCAGG
This 500-nucleotide ribosomal RNA is filed under the name uncultured Myrionecta. RNAcentral's name for it is "bacterial SSU rRNA". It matches the Rfam family "Eukaryotic small subunit ribosomal RNA", at positions 1228 to 1779 of the family's 1831-position model. The record is from RNAcentral. Lineage: Eukaryota; Ciliophora; Litostomatea; Cyclotrichida; Mesodiniidae.